CCUACGGGUGGCAGCAGUGAGGAAUAUUGGUCAAUGGACGCAAGUCUGAACCAGCCAUGCCGCGUGCAGGAAGACGGCUCUAUGAGUUGUAAACUGCUUUUGUACGAGAGUAAACGCAGAUACGCGUAUCUGUCUGAAUGUACCUUACGAAUAAGGAUCGGCUAACUCCGUGCCAGCAGCCGCGGUAAUACGGAGGAUUCGAGCGUUAUCCGGAUUUAUUGGGUUUAAAGGGUGCGUAGGCGGUUGGAUAAGUUAGAUGUGAAAUCCCGGGGCUCAACCGCGGAAUUGCCAUUGAUACUGGCAGUCUAGAGAGUAGUUGCGGUAGGCGGAAUGUAUGGUGUAGCGGUGAAAUGCUUAGAGAUCAUACAGAACACCGAUUGCGAAGGCAGCUUACCAAGCUACUUCUGACGUUGAGGCACGAAAGCGUGGGGAGCAAACAGGAUUAGAUACCCGGGUAGUC
This 460-nucleotide ribosomal RNA is filed under the name uncultured bacterium. RNAcentral's name for it is "partial 16S ribosomal RNA". It matches the Rfam family "Bacterial small subunit ribosomal RNA", at positions 338 to 795 of the family's 1533-position model. The record is from RNAcentral.